This 375-nucleotide ribosomal RNA is filed under the name uncultured bacterium. RNAcentral describes it as "bacterial SSU rRNA". It matches the Rfam family "Bacterial small subunit ribosomal RNA", at positions 523 to 898 of the family's 1533-position model. The record is from RNAcentral.
AUACGUAGGUGGCAAGCGUUGUCCGGAAUUAUUGGGCGUAAAGCGCGCGCAGGCGGUUCUUUAAGUCUGAUGUGAAACCUUGGGGCUUAACCUCAAGCGGUCAUUGGAAACUGGGGGACUUGAGUCAAGAAGAGGAGAGUGGAAUUCCACGUGUAGCGGUGAAAUGCGUAGAGAUGUGGAGGAACACCAGUGGCGAAGGCGGCUCUCCGGUCUUGUACUGACGCUGAGGCGCGAAAGCGUGGGGAGCAAACAGGAUUAGAUACCCUGGUAGUCCACGCCGUAAACGAUGAGUGCUAGGUGUUGGGGGGUAAGCCCCUCAGUGCUGAAGUAAACACAUUAAGCACUCCGCCUGGGGAGUACGACCGCAAGGUUGAA